CCUGAGACUGUGUCUGUGGAAGCACUCUGAAAAUGCUAAACAACUGCAUAAAUAAGGGGUGUCAUUAACAUCGUCAUUCAGUAGCUCACCUGGUUAAAACAUGGUUUCCUGAAGGUAAGCCAGCUCUCUCUCCUUUCAUUCAAUCCAUCCCACAGAGGUUCUUCUAGUGCCUAUUUUAUCCAAGAUAGAACUUUUCCCCCACUUUCUUGGUAACUUGGGUAGGAUUUCUUUUCCAAUGUUUAUUGUGUAAAUUGGUAGACAUUUUUUAAAAAGUGCAAUGUCCACUCCGUGCUUAUUUCUGUCUCAAAGAGAUGUGGUCAAAUAGUGAAGCAGGAGACACGCUUGAGCACACUGCUGCAAAGGUGGAAGGCCAGAGCACAAUCCCUACCCGCAUCUCCCCCCAGAAAGCAGUCUUCUGCUACCCUCAGGCUAGGAGAGACAGAAAGGAAAGCCUAGAGGGGGUGCAGCAAAACGGUCAGUGAAGAGAACAUGAGUAACUGUAUACAACCUCUCAGAUCCCAACGAUCAGUAUUAUAAUAAAUAGAUUUACUUACAUGAAAGCAGCUUAAAGCAAAUCUCCUUUAAUUUAGCCUGUGGUCCAUUCAGCAAAGAAACAUUUCUUCCAUUUUUAGAAGCUUCUGAUGGAGAUUUAUAGAUACUGUUUCCAGAGGAAAAAUAAAAGGCAAGUGAUUCUCGGGGAAGAGAGGAAAAACACAAAAUUUUUAAAUGAUUUAGCUGUACAGCAGGUUAUGAAGGAAGGAAAAGGAAGAGAUUAAAAUGGUUCUUUCCCUCCUCCCUCUGUGACUCAGAGAUUCAUCCUAAAAAUAAUUUUCAUUCCAGUUUGGGGAAGCUGAGCAAAGACUCACGUCUCCACAUUCCAAGUUCCAUGAUGGCCUUGGAGAGGGAGGGAACCAAAGGAAGAGGAAAAUGGGAAACAGUAACUAUUAAAGGUAAUCUGGAAAAGACUUUAUCUACUCAGAAGAGGUGAGGUGAAAUUAAAGGCCAGGCUAGCUGUAAUGAAGCAAGCAUUUUCUGUUCUUGCCCUAGUCUGAGGUAUGUCGUGUCAGCAAGGAUGAAGCCUCAACUUGCCUUUCAGCCUUAUUUCCUACCAGCUCUUCUGGUGAUCAGUGUUUUACUCAUUCAAAUGAAUUUUUGUCUUCUAACAUCAUUCCCCUUUCUUGUUUUUUUUUUAAUUUUUAUUUUUUAACUUUAUUAUUAUUAUUUUUUUAGGUAUAAUUGGUCAUUCCUCUUUCUUUGUAUCAGCAGCAGAAGGUUCUUGUUUAGGUGUUUCUUUAGUCACAUUUAAUUGAUAUUAGUAUGUUCAUUUUAAAAAGAUUUUCAUUUUUAAGGUAUUUCACACUUACAGAAAAGUUGUUCACGUAGCAUACUGAACUCUUUUUUUUUUUUUUUAACCUGAACAAUUGGAGAGUAACCUGACAUGAUACCUGUGGCAGAUAGCAAGAUGCAUUGACCAGAUGCCCUUCAAGGAAGGACUUGUUGCCCAGCCUUGGAGACUGUAGUCGGCACACAGCUGUCAACUUGCAUUUCCUUCAGGGUUUGCCUCAUCUGCAGAGAGCCAUCUUGCCCAAGGAGAUGCCCCUUUCCCAGGUGGCCCAAAUCCAAUGACUGAUAAUGGCAAGGAUAGAAAGGCCUGGCUAUUUUGG
Molecule: long non-coding RNA, 1664 nt
Filed under: Lynx pardinus (Iberian lynx)
Lineage: Eukaryota; Metazoa; Chordata; Mammalia; Carnivora; Felidae
Source: RNAcentral